ACUUCCGGACGCCGCCGGCGGGGGCGCUCGGGCCUGGGCUUCGGCGCUCUGGCUCGGGCUCUGGCUCGGGAGGCGAUCGUGGCCGCUGCCGCCGCCAGAGCCGGCCGGAGUCGGCCCGGAGCCGCGUCCACGCGGAGCGGGCGGGUGGGAGCUGGCGGCUGGGCCCCUGCGGCGCCCCCGCGGCCUGCCCCGCGUCCGCCUCCGGGCCGCCGAGCCGCAGCCGCCGAGAUGGGGGCCGCCCCGGGCCGCGCCCCCGCCGGGUCCCGCCCGCCGCGCUGCCGCUGAGCGCAUGGGCCCGGACCGCGCCGCGCCGCUCCGGGAGCCGGGCCCGGGGUCCCGCCACCACCGCGCGCGGGACAGAUUGAUUCACUUUGGAGCUGUAAGUACUGAUGUAUUAGGGUGCAGCGCUCAUUGUUCCUUGACGCAGAGUCCCAAAAUGAAUAUCCAAGAGCAGGGUUUCCCCUUGGACCUCGGAGCAAGUUUCACCGAAGAUGCUCCCCGACCCCCAGUGCCUGGUGAGGAGGGAGAACUGGUGUCCACAGACCCGAGGCCCGCCAGCUACAGUUUCUGCUCCGGGAAAGGUGUUGGCAUUAAAGGUGAGACUUCGACGGCCACUCCGAGGCGCUCGGAUCUGGACCUGGGGUAUGAGCCUGAGGGCAGUGCCUCCCCCACCCCACCAUACUUGAAGUGGGCUGAGUCACUGCAUUCCCUGCUGGAUGACCAAGAUGGGAUAAGCCUGUUCAGGACUUUCCUGAAGCAGGAGGGCUGUGCCGACUUGCUGGACUUCUGGUUUGCCUGCACUGGCUUCAGGAAGCUGGAGCCCUGUGACUCGAACGAGGAGAAGAGGCUGAAGCUGGCGAGAGCCAUCUACCGAAAGUACAUUCUUGAUAACAAUGGCAUCGUGUCCCGGCAGACCAAGCCAGCCACCAAGAGCUUCAUAAAGGGCUGCAUCAUGAAGCAGCUGAUCGAUCCUGCCAUGUUUGACCAGGCCCAGACCGAAAUCCAGGCCACUAUGGAGGAAAACACCUAUCCCUCCUUCCUUAAGUCUGAUAUUUAUUUGGAAUAUACGAGGACAGGCUCGGAGAGCCCCAAAGUCUGUAGUGACCAGAGCUCUGGGUCAGGGACAGGGAAGGGCAUAUCUGGAUACCUGCCGACCUUAAAUGAAGAUGAGGAAUGGAAGUGUGACCAGGACAUGGAUGAGGACGAUGGCAGAGACGCUGCUCCCCCCGGAAGACUCCCUCAGAAGCUGCUCCUGGAGACAGCUGCCCCGAGGGUCUCCUCCAGUAGACGGUACAGCGAAGGCAGAGAGUUCAGGUAUGGAUCCUGGCGGGAGCCAGUCAACCCCUAUUAUGUCAAUGCCGGCUAUGCCCUGGCCCCAGCCACCAGUGCCAACGACAGCGAGCAGCAGAGCCUGUCCAGCGAUGCAGACACCCUGUCCCUCACGGACAGCAGCGUGGAUGGGAUCCCCCCAUACAGGAUCCGUAAGCAGCACCGCAGGGAGAUGCAGGAGAGCGUGCAGGUCAAUGGGCGGGUGCCCCUACCUCACAUUCCCUCACAGGUCCUGAACGUCAAGAACCCGCGGAGCCGCUGGGAUGACGGAGGCCCGAGAGACAAGACAGCUGAGCAACCACAGGCCCGGAACAGCCCUCUGUGCCCAUGAGGACGGGGCUUGAGUGGGCUGAGGCCCGCGGGAGGCUUCUGUCCACAGGGGUGCCCCGAUUUUGGGGUGCUGGUCAGAGUCUUCGUGUGUAGAAAGUGCAUGCCACAGACUCUGGAUGAGGGGGCAUCAGGCAGACAACCUCCCCUCAGAAGGGUCAGGAAGGACAGAAGCUGUGGAGUGCGUUGGUGCCUGGAACGUGGACCUGGAAAGACCUCUCAGGAUGCAACACAGAGAAAAGAGGAUGCCUAUGGCGAGUCCCUGGUGUCGUCGUCAGAACCUUCCAGAACCGAGGGAAGCACAGAGCCCUCAGGUCCUGGAGGGUCACAUUUGAGUCGCCAGGAAGAUGAAAGCCAACAGAGGCGGCAGGCACAGACAGGAGCAGGCCCUGCUGCGUUCCGCACCCCCAGAGGGCCCUUGUGUGGUGGGGUGGGGGCCGCAGUGUGCGUUUCUGUGUGAACAGUCUGCAGCAAACAACCUCAUCGGAGGCUCUGUAGGAACCUGCAUCAGGUCCAUGUGGCCUGUCAGGUGGGGCUGUGGUUGGAACCUUCGGUGGGAGGUCCCUCAGCCAGAGGCCCAAGUGAGAAACCCACAUCACGGGCACAGCUGCCCGGGGCCUGCUCACUGCUGCUACUGGGAAACUGGACCCGAGGAUGGUGGUGAGCAGAGGCGGGGGGAGGCCCAGGAAGCCGAUAAGCUAGCAGGACGUGCCGUGGUUGCACUGCCCACUUCUGCUCUGUUGAGGGCCUUGGUUUUGCAAAAGCUAUGCCGUUUCUCUGGUGAGUCCAUGGCUCUGCAGCAGGGACAGCAGGAGGGGAGUAGCUUAGACGCUCAUAGGAGCAGAACCCUGUUGUGGCUGCACCCACGGAGGCCCAGGCUGUGUGCACCUUGUGAGACUCUUUAACACCUGCCCAUCAGAGUUGGAGCAGGUUCAUCCCGAAAAGCCCCCUGCCCCCACUGUCCAUGGAAAAAUUGUCUUCUACAAAACUGGUCCCUGGUGCCAAAAGGUUGGGGGCCGUGGCUUUACAGCAUCUGGUACCAGAAUGCGUGCCCUGCGGGGAGGGGCCUCUUCAUCUUUAGCCUUUACAAUUACUUGGAAGUUUCACGUUUUCAUUUACUUGGCUUUUUCCUUUAUGAUAUUUUUUUCUGUUCCUCUAAAGCUGGAGAGGUUGCCAUUCUCUGUAAAUCUGAUGACUCUGACAGUUUUGCUGUUCUCAGAACCGUGGUGACGCAGCCUGCAAGGCCACCUGGAGUCUUUUUAUGGAGCUCGCGUGGCGGCAUGAGUGCUCCUGUUGGCCCCUCAGCCGUGCUGCUCUCUGGGCCUGAUGAUGGGCUUUUCAUCCUGCCCUUGGUCUCUGUGGUGCUGACUGUUCAGACCAUAAGCGCGUCUGUCUGCGCCUCUGGCUGUCUGCAGACACAGCAGCCGUGGUCCCUGCAGUGCUGGCAGCUCCCAUUCCUGUGUGUGCCACUCCCACGUCUGCGCCUUGCCCAGCACUGGGCACGGAAAAGCCAGCAUGGCCCCCCAGCCACCCAGCCUCCAGGCCCCGGGUGCAGCGGGAAAGGGUGGCUUGUUAGUUCCUUGCCAUCUGUGUGGACGCCCUGCCGUCCACACACCCGGACACACCGGCCCACAUCCCUGCUGGUGCCAGCCCCAGCCUUCCUCAUCAUCUUCCAGAAGCACUGGAUGCUCCUCCUUGGCUCCGGGACAGACCCCUUCCUGGCGCUGUGCACGGCCCAGACUCCAGCAGUGACUUUUCCCAGCUCUGAGGCAUCACCCAGUGUCCUGGGCGUGCCCUUGGCCCCUUCAUACUCCACGUUCCUUGAAGUGAAGCCUGUGGCUCCAGGGCCAGCCUCUCUCUGAGCCUCGUCUACUGUGGAACAUCUGAGCCUGGAGGAGGCCUUUUGUGUGGCCCCUGUGUCCAGUCUCACCCCAUCCUUCUCAGGUUUAGAUGCUGUUUCUACUCUCAUUGUGUAGAUGAGAAACGGGUGCACAGAGCCAGGACUGCGCCAGAGCCCACGGCGGGAGGGCAGGAAGGCCACACACACGGAGGGUCCCACCUCCCAUCUGCCACCCUGCUUGCUUGUCACAGGGGAGCUGUCCCUGGCUGCAUCCCUCCGCGGCUUAGACACUGGCGGCCUGGAUUUUAAAACAUGUUUUGCUAUGAAGGAUGUUAUUGGAGCAGCUGGCAAAAUUGGAAUAAGAUCUGCCACGUGAUGUUAUUGUAUCAGGCGCACGUACCGGGUGCCGAAGGAGGUCCGCGUGGAGCCUCAGAAGUUCGCGGAGGAGCUCAUCCACCGCCUGGAGGCUGUG
This is an RNA transcript of Homo sapiens (human), 3968 nucleotides long. It is a transcript of the gene named axin 1, with no coding region annotated. NCBI's taxonomy places the organism in Eukaryota, Metazoa, Chordata, Mammalia, Primates, Hominidae. The record is from RefSeq and is marked reviewed. The transcript is spliced from 6 exons.